ACGGGAGGCAGCAGUGGGGAAUAUUGGGCAAUGGGCGAAAGCCUGACCCAGCAACGCCGCGUGAAGGAAGAAGGUCUUCGGAUUGUAAACUUCUUUUAUGAGGGACGAUAAUGACGGUACCUCAUGAAUAAGCCCCGGCUAACUACGUGCCAGCAGCCGCGGUAAUACGUAGGGGGCAAGCGUUAUCCGGAUUUACUGGGUGUAAAGGGAGCGUAGACGGCAAUGCAAGUCUGAAGUGAAAGCCCGUGGCUUAACUGCGGGACUGCUUUGGAAACUGCAUGGCUAGAGUGUCGGAGAGGUGAGUGGAAUUCCCAGUGUAGCGGUGAAAUGCGUAGAUAUUGGGAGGAACACCGGAGGCGAAGGCGGCUCACUGGACGAUCACUGACGUUGAGGCUCGAAAGCGUGGGGAGCAAACAGGAUUAGAUACCCUGGUA
RNAcentral lists this ribosomal RNA (434 nucleotides) under uncultured Dorea sp. RNAcentral's name for it is "partial 16S ribosomal RNA". It matches the Rfam family "Bacterial small subunit ribosomal RNA", at positions 341 to 792 of the family's 1533-position model. Lineage: Bacteria; Bacillati; Bacillota; Clostridia; Lachnospirales; Lachnospiraceae. The record is from RNAcentral.